AACGAACGCUGGCGGCAUGCCUAACACAUGCAAGUCGAACGAGACCUUCGGGUCUAGUGGCGCACGGGUGCGUAACGCGUGGGAACCUGCCCUUAGGUUCGGCAUAACUCCCCGAAAGGGGUGCUAAUACCGGAUAAUGUCUUCGGACCAAAGAUUUAUCGCCUUUGGAUGGGCCCGCGUUGGAUUAGCUAGUUGGUAGGGUAAAAGCCUACCAAGGCGACGAUCCAUAGCUGGUCAGAGAGGAUGAUCAGCCACACUGGGACUGAGACACGGCCCAGACUCCUACGGGAGGCAGCAGUGGGGAAUGUUGGAAAAUGGGCGAAAGGCUGAUCCAGCAAGGCCGCGUGAGUGAUGAAGGCCUUGGAGUUGUAAAGCGCUUUUAACCGGGAUGAUAAUGACAGUACCGGGAGAAUAAGCUCCGGCUAACUCCGUG
Molecule: ribosomal RNA, 433 nt
Filed under: uncultured bacterium
Lineage: Bacteria
Description: partial 16S ribosomal RNA
Rfam family: Bacterial small subunit ribosomal RNA
Source: RNAcentral